RNAcentral lists this ribosomal RNA (697 nucleotides) under uncultured bacterium. RNAcentral describes it as "bacterial SSU rRNA". It matches the Rfam family "Bacterial small subunit ribosomal RNA", at positions 134 to 851 of the family's 1533-position model. The record is from RNAcentral.
UACACACGGAUAACAUACCGAAAGGUAUGCUAAUACGGGAUAAUAUAUUUGAGAGGCAUCUCUUAAAUAUCAAAGGUGAGCCAGUACAGGAUGGACCCGCGUCUGAUUAGCUAGUUGGUAAGGUAACGGCUUACCAAGGCGACGAUCAGUAGCCGACCUGAGAGGGUGAUCGGCCACAUUGGAACUGAGACACGGUCCAAACUCCUACGGGAGGCAGCAGUGGGGAAUAUUGCACAAUGGGCGAAAGCCUGAUGCAGCAACGCCGCGUGAGUGAUGAAGGCCUUCGGGUCGUAAAACUCUGUCCUCAAGGAAGAUAAUGACGGUACUUGAGGAGGAAGCCCCGGCUAACUACGUGCCAGCAGCCGCGGUAAUACGUAGGGGGCUAGCGUUAUCCGGAUUUACUGGGCGUAAAGGGUGCGUAGGCGGUCUUUCAAGUCAGGAGUGAAAGGCUACGGCUCAACCGUAGUAAGCUCUUGAAACUGGGAGACUUGAGUGCAGGAGAGGAGAGUGGAAUUCCUAGUGUAGCGGUGAAAUGCGUAGAUAUUAGGAGGAACACCAGUUGCGAAGGCGGCUCUCUGGACUGUAACUGGCGCUGAGGCACGAAAGCGUGGGGAGCAAACAGGAUUAGAUACCCUGGUAGUCCACGCUGUAAACGAUGAGUACUAGGUGUCGGGGGUUACCCCCUUCGGUGCCGCAG